Molecule: non-coding RNA, 114 nt
Organism: Triticum urartu
Lineage: Eukaryota; Viridiplantae; Streptophyta; Magnoliopsida; Poales; Poaceae
Source: Rfam
UUAGUACUCCCUCCGUUCGGAAUUACUAAUCGCAAAAAUGAAUGUAUCUAGAUAUAUUUUAGUUAUAGAUACAUUCAUUUUCGAGACAAAUAUUCCGAACGGAGGGAGUAAUUG